GCCUGGGUGGCUCAGUCGGUUAAGCGUCUGACUUCGGCUCAGGUCAUGAUCUCACGGUCUGUGGGUUCAAGCCCCGCGUCGGGCU
This 85-nucleotide transfer RNA is filed under the name Felis catus (domestic cat). It matches the Rfam family "tRNA". Rfam says of the family: Transfer RNA (tRNA) molecules are approximately 80 nucleotides in length. Their secondary structure includes four short double-helical elements and three loops (D, anti-codon, and T loops). Lineage: Eukaryota; Metazoa; Chordata; Mammalia; Carnivora; Felidae. The record is from Rfam by way of RNAcentral.